Long non-coding RNA from Lycium ferocissimum, 354 nucleotides. RefSeq lists it as uncharacterized. The transcript is spliced from 2 exons. NCBI's taxonomy places the organism in Eukaryota, Viridiplantae, Streptophyta, Magnoliopsida, Solanales, Solanaceae. The record is from RefSeq and is a predicted model, not a curated record.
ACCAAGCUUGGAAAAUGGCAGAAUCUCUUCUUAAAUCUGAAAAAGCUACUGAUAUUCUCAGCAUUUCUUAGGGGAAAGUUUAUCUUCUCUGCUUUAGGAUAAAAUAUUAGAGCAUCUAUCUCAAGAUCAAGAACAUGCUGCCACUUUAGGUGUUCCAUUGAAUAUAUUGGCUCAUCCUAAUGAUGCCAUUGGAAAAGUAUAUGGAGCUGAACAUUCUGAUCGUGUGCGUGGUUUAGGUGGUAAUAUUUGCCCCUCGACUGCUUUUGGAAUGCCUAAACAUUCAAUUAGUCAUGCGAAUCUUGGUGGUUCUAGUAGUAUGUCUCAUCAACGUGUUGAAGACCUAGAGAAGUAUGU